AACGAACGCUGGCGGCAUGCCUAACACAUGCAAGUCGGACGAGGAAGCUGCUUCGGCGGUUUUCUAGUGGCGCACGGGUGAGUAACGCGUGGGAACCUGCCCUGUGGUACGGAAUAACUCCGGGAAACUGGAGCUAAUACCGUAUGCGUCCUGCGGGACAAAGAUUGAUCGCCAUGGGAGGGGCCCGCGUAGGAUUAGCUGGUUGGUGGGGUAACGGCCUACCAAGGCUUCGAUCCUUGGCUGGUCUGAGAGGAUGAUCAGCCACACUGGGACUGAGACACGGCCCAGACUCCUACGGGAGGCAGCAGUGGGGAAUUGUUCGCAAUGGGCGCAAGCCUGACGACGCAAUGCCGCGUGGAGGAUGAAGAUUUUCGGAUCGUAAACUCCUGUCGAAUGGGACGAAAAGAUUGCGGGUUAACAGCCCGUAGUCCUGACGGUACCGUUAAAGGAAACCCGGCUAACUCCGUGCCAGCAGCCGCAGUAAC
RNAcentral lists this ribosomal RNA (485 nucleotides) under uncultured bacterium. Its description in RNAcentral is "bacterial SSU rRNA". It matches the Rfam family "Bacterial small subunit ribosomal RNA", at positions 29 to 524 of the family's 1533-position model. The record is from RNAcentral.